GGGUUUUUCACAAACUGGUUUAUCAUUCACAAUGAUUAGGUUCCCCCUUAUUUGAAGGGGGGGUGCAUAAAAUGCCACUUAUGUUUUUUUUAAAUUUAAUUUUAUUUAUUAUUUUAUGCAGCAGGUUCUCAUUAGUUAUCCAUUUUAUACAUAUUAGUGUAUAUAUGUCAAUCCCAAUCUCCCAAUUCAUCCCACCACCACCCUCCCCUCGCCACUUUCCCCCCUUGGUGUCCAUACAUUUGUUCUCUACAUCUGUGUUCUCUACAUCAUGUUUUUAAAUGAUUUUUUCUCUUUGCCUUUCCUGUUAGUGUAACCGGAGGUGGGGUCUAGCUGCUCGCCGCUCAAAAGCAAGUAAAGAGGCAAGGGCUUCCCUGGUGGCGCAGUGGUUGAGAGUCUGCCUGCCGAUGCAGGGGACGCGGAUUCGUGCCCCGGUCCGGGAAGAUCCCACAUGCCGCGGAGCGGCUGGGCCCACGAGCCAUGGCCGCUGAGCCUGCGCGUCCGGAGCCUGUGCUCCGCAACGGGAGAGGCCACAACAGUGAGAGGCCCGUGUACCGCAAAAAAAAAAAAACAACGCAACUCUGUUUUAAUUUAAUUUUUCUUGAGGUAACAUUGGUUACCGCCUCUCAGCUCGAAAUUCACUCUUUUGUUACUUGCUGUGUGAAAAGUGCUAUGGGUCCUUUAAAUAGUUUUUCCUUGGCCAGCUCAUGUGAUGUUAGGCUUUCCUAAUUGAUGGCACCUGAGGAAGGUGUUGCUUCGUGAUGCCCCGGUGCUUGCUGGGAAGGCUCUUGGUGGCGUCUUCAGCACCCACUCACUCCUGCAGCUCCGAGGGCGUCGUCAGCCCUGCUCCCGGGGCUCACAACUUCUCCGGUAGUCGGCUUCAGCAGUGCGCAGAGAGAGCAGUGGACGACAGCUUCUGUCGGCAUCUUCUAUCAAGCAGUUUUGGAGUAGCGCCUCAGAUGAAGACACUGAGGAAGAGAAAAGUUAAGAAUUUGCCUAUGAUCAGUUAUCCAUCUGUUCAGCCAGUGCACAAAUUACACUGCCCAACUCCAAGAUCAGCCUCCGGAACCGUGAGGAAAAAAAAUUCCUGUUGUUUAUGAGCCACCCAACCUGCAGGAUAAUCUUACAGCAGCCCAAAAGGACAAAGAGAGUUUGGAUGUGAGAUUUUACUCCAAGAAAGAUGGGAAUCUGUUGAAGGAUUUUACCCGGUAACUUAGAAGAGAGAAAAGUUUCAUAACACAAUCAGGUAUUUUUAUAAGAAAAAUUUGUUUCUUUUUCAGAAAGAUCACUCUGGAAAUACUGUGACUAGAUUUUUGGAGAAGUGUGAUGGCAGGCCUGGAUAUAGAAAGAUGAGUUAGUAGUCCAUUAAUAUAAGUCAAACAAGAAAGUGGAUAUAAAAAGUGUGAAUUUGUGGCUGAGAGUUCUUUUCUUUUACUACUUGAAAAAUGUUAUGUCAAUGCUUCUGACUCCAUAAUUUUAGACAAGAAAUAUGCUGUCAUUGGAAUUGGUUUCUCAAUAAGUGAUGCAUCGUUUCUGCCUGUCCACUUUCGAGAUUUUUUUGUCUCUACUUUUCAGAAGUUUAAUUAUGACGCGUCUUGACAAGGAUACCUUUGUGUUUUUCCUCUUUGGAUUUGCUCAGAUUCUUGAAUGUGUGCUUAUGUCUUCUAAAAAAUUGGGAACGUUUUAGUCAUUAUUUCUUUGAAUACUUUGUCAGUCCUACGUGCUCUCUUUUUUCAUUCUGGAACUUUGAUGAUAUGAAUGUUAGUGCUUUUGUUACUGUUUACAGGUUCUUGAGAUCCUGUUCUUUCUCCCAUCUCUACCCCUCAGCCUAUUUUUCUCUGUACAUUUGGUACACUGUAUUGAUCUCUUCUAAGUUCAUGAUUCUAUGCUUUGUAAUCUCCAGUCUACUCUUGAGCAGUUUUUUGAUUGUUGUAUUUUUCAGUUCUACUGUUCUCAUUUGUUUUUAUUCUUAUAACUUCUAGUUCUUUGUUUACAUUUUCUAUUUUUCCCAUUUCCGUCAAGGAACACAUAAUUGCUAACUGAAGCACUUAUGUGACAGCUUAUUUAAAAUCCCUGUCUGAUAAUUUCAAUAGUGCUGGUGUAGGUUUAUUGUCUUUUCUCAUUUAUUCUGUGAUUUCCUGGUUCUUGGUGCCAUGAGUAUUUUUCAAUUGGAUUCUAAACAUUGUGGGUUAUUACAUGACUCUGUAAUUUUAUUAUUAUUUACUUUUAAUUUUAUUAUUUUUAAUUUUAUUAUUACUUUUUAGAAGGAAGUCAUCCUAUUGGAGGUGUAGUAUGAGGACUGGGGGGUUACGUACAGAUUUCCAUUGGGCCCUACUGUCAAUACCCCAGCAAAAGUGGGCACUUACAUUCUCUCACUGCAGACAGAUCAAGUAGAAGUUCAGCUAUCCUAUUGGCCCUUCUGACAUCUUCCCCCCAAAAGUGGGAACAUUAAUAUCACUGUGUUGCCUUUUAGUAGGAGUGGAAGUGCAUCUCCCCAGUAGAUUUCUUGACACCAGGGGAGGGGAGAAGUGAAGUGUUUGCUGUCCUUCCUCCCACUUCAUUCCUUCUUGUUGAUGCCGGGUGUGGGUAGAGGGUCAGCUACCUGCUGGCCCCACUGACACCAGGGUAAGAGGAAGAGAACUGCCAACUAGCCCUGCUUGUGCCAUCUCAUUCUGUCUUACUGCCUCAGGACGGUUAUGGGGAUUCAGCACCCCAUUGGGUCUCACUGGCACCAUGUGUUGGGGGUUAGUGGGGUGCCUACUCCCUCCAACCUGUAACAUCCUAUUCUUAUCGAUGUCGGGGAGAGACGGAGGCUAGGUCCCACCAUUGGACCCCACGACUGUGUGAGGGCAGCCCAGUGUUAACUAGCCUGUCAGGCACCACCUUUGAAAGUCUCUUUGCUAAUGCAAAGGGGUGGAGGCUCAGCUCACCACUGCACCACACUGAAACAGCCCUGGUGGCGAAUCAGAGCGCUGCCUCUUCUGGAGGGCAGGAGUGGGGUGGUGUGGAAGAUCAAAUCCUAGCUUGGCCCAACUGAAACCACAGGACAUAGGGGACGGGUGCAAUAUUCCGCUGGCACUUGGCUCGAGUAGUGUGUAUAUUAUUGCCCAAACGCCUUUCUGUCUUUGGCAACCCCUUUCCUCACACCUUGGCUAGGGGGAACGGGGGUUUUGUGUUUUCUUUUUUGAAGCUUUUUCGUCUGUUGUUCUGUUGGGGGUUAUUGAUUGGGGGUUCCUGUAAUACCCUCUCCAGGAUGUAUGGGAAGCAACAGGAAACACAGGGGACUCAUCACCGUGUUAUUCCUCAAGUCCCAAAGUCCCUAGUUAAGUCUGCCUUCUCAUUUCCACCUUUCAGUGUCUUCCUAUGUUUGUUUGUUGUUAUGUUCAGGGUUUUAGUUUUAAGUGGAAGAACCUGGGAGAAAUGGGCUACUUCAUCUUCUUGGAAGCAGAGGUCUGGAGGCCUAUGGAUGUUACAAAGUACUGCUGACUGUAAAUUAAAAUUUGAUGAUAUACACCUUGCCCUUAAAGAAUUAUUCUCUUAGAUGAUGUGGCUUCCCAAAGUAGCUACAAUUUGAUUUCCAUACUUCUAAAAGUCAAGUGUUUUGCUGGAGUUGAAAUUUAAAGAUAAGCAAGAGAUGAGGCUAAGAUGGUCUAUGUGGUAACAGAUUAAAGUUGGAAACAUCAAUAUACAUUCAUGUUUAGCUUAAUAUUGCUUCAUAUUACCUUAAUACACAUGGUUAUGUAGAGAGGUACUUAUAGAUAUGUGCAUAUACAUGGGUAAUGUACACACAUGUUAUCUCUUGGCUCUGUCAGCUGAGAAGAUCUAGAAGCAAUGACAUCCGGGCAGCAAUCAGCACACCCCACACCCAGAUCCUGCUGUCUAAUACUGUUCUCCACUAAAAAGACCUAGUUAUCCUUGAAGAAAUAGCUGAUUCUAGGAUUGGGGCAGUAAAUAUACAAGGUUUAUAUACAAGACCAUCUUAUAGUGUCAGAAAGUAAGGAAGUUCCAAAAAAAUAUAUAGGAUGGGGAUACCUCAGAGUGGCACACGAGCCACUGAACUGAAAAGAGUUCACAAGGGUCAGGACUAGAGCAAUUUGAGGAACAAAGUAACUAACGUAGAAUUAGAUUAUAACCCAAAGUAUAAAAUGAAAAUCCAUGAGUUCUUCUGAUAUAAAUAAAUGAUUGGAUACGUAAAUAAAUGCAGGAGAAUAGAUAAAUCUCCAGUGCAAAAGAAUUCCAAAUAGUUUAUGUAGUACUCCAUCUUAAGCAUAACUCUCCAUUCCUUAGUUGGGGGCUGAGCAUAUUGACUUCCUUCCAAAAAAUACAAUAUGGAGAAGGGAAAACAGUAAUUUUACAAUGGAGAAACCUGAAAAACACCACCUCAGCCUGGUGAUCAAGGUCGACCUCAGCAUUCAUAAUGCAUAUU
Orcinus orca (killer whale) is the source of this 4423-nucleotide long non-coding RNA. RefSeq lists it as uncharacterized. The transcript has 4 exons. NCBI's taxonomy places the organism in Eukaryota, Metazoa, Chordata, Mammalia, Artiodactyla, Delphinidae. The record is from RefSeq and is a predicted model, not a curated record.